AGUAAUGGCAGGUCAGCAUACUGCCGUGAAUACGUUCCCGGGCCUUGUACACACCGCCCGUCAAACCAUGAGAGUUGGCAACACCCGAAGCCUGUAGCUUAACCGCAAGGACGGCGCAGUCGAAGGUGGGGUCGAUGAGUUAGGGUUAAGUCGUAACAAGGUAUC
This 165-nucleotide ribosomal RNA is filed under the name uncultured bacterium. RNAcentral's name for it is "partial 16S ribosomal RNA". It matches the Rfam family "Bacterial small subunit ribosomal RNA", at positions 1337 to 1500 of the family's 1533-position model. The record is from RNAcentral.